Panthera uncia (snow leopard) is the source of this 2752-nucleotide long non-coding RNA. RefSeq lists it as uncharacterized. The record is from RefSeq and is a predicted model, not a curated record. NCBI's taxonomy places the organism in Eukaryota, Metazoa, Chordata, Mammalia, Carnivora, Felidae. The transcript is spliced from 4 exons.
UUGGCUGUGCGGGGCGGCCCGCCCGCCUGUCUGCCCGCCCGUCCGCCUGGCCGGCCGUGGGAGCUGCCAGCAACUCGCCCUCCCGCUGCCCACAGGCCCUGCCAGGCUGGGCGCAAGAAAGCGUGUUUACUAACACCGUCCACACGGCUCCCUGGGCACCGCGGCUCUGCCCAGAAGAUGUCAGGCCGAGGGCACCGGGAGCGAUUCCUGGUGAAUGCAACUCUACAGGGUUUGGUCAACUCUCUUCUGUUGCUGCCUUCACUCAGGUUUCGUGCCUCAAAUCUGAUCUGGGCUGUGGACCUCGAGGUUGCCUGUGUCCCGAGGAAAGAGAAUCUCUGGCCUCAGCAACUGGAUGGGGAGAAUAACUUUGGGAGAUUUCCAGGUUCCUGCGUGGUCACCUGCGGUCCCCUUGAGGCCAGCCCUGCCGUGUACAGACCUAUAGAGCAUAAGGCUCUAGGGUGAUGCAGAGGGCUCCCCUAUGGGCAGACCUGAUAAGAGUAGACUCUCUGCAGCAGAAGUGACCGACCUGGGUUUGGAGACAGGAAAGUGAGACCCGGUUUCUGAGACCUUCCCAGGGCGACCAGCCGCGGACCAGAAAACUCAGCUCUAUUCGACCGAGAAACUCACCUCUCUUUCCCGAUUCAUCCUCUCCCCCCAGAUUUCGGGGUGUCUCUUCUAAACUGCGACCUUCAGAACCAGUUGCCACUGGCGAAGUCAACAAAGGCGUCCUUAAUGACUCCACUCCACAACCACCCCAGGCUGCCCCAUCCCUUUCUGGCAAUCAAGAGCAGCCUCCUGCCUCUAAGCCUCCACGUCGGCCUGUCCCUAGCUCAUUUCUCAGGUAACUGCUAGGAGAAGAAUCCUAAAAGGCACAUUGCUGAGAAAUGAAAUGGAAGAAAAUAAUAAUGUAAAGAAAGAUGAAGGCAUGAAAGAUAAUAGCGACCCAGCAUGUUUGAUGUGACCCCCACUUACGGGAAAUCAUAUAGGUGAGCACAUCUAUGUCUAAGAACAUUGAGAUGCAUGGAGAGAGACAGAGACAGACGGAGACAGAGAUUUAGGCUUAUGUCUCGUGUUGUGGAUGCCAUUGAUGUGUAGUCAGGCACUAAGUUCACCUGAGGAACAAGCCAAACAUGAUUCUUUUCCAGUUGCGAGUCAACAACCUCCCCCGUGUUGGUGGUGGGGGUGUGUGUGUGCAUGCGUGCGUGUGUGUGCACGCACGUGUGUGGUAAACGUCGGAGUAAAAGAGAAAGCCACGGAAGGAUCUAUUCCAGGCUGUUAACAGCAGUGAUCCAGGGUUGGGGGAAGAACGGAGGGAGAGUCGGAGACAAAAGACUGGCUUUUUCUAAUUUAUCUUUAUAUCAUUUCACUUGUUACAACACACACACACACAUAUACACACACGUUACUUCAGCAACUUAAAGCUAACUAAAUUUUUCAAAGACCCAAAUCUGAUUAUGUCUCUUGUUACUUAAUAUCCUUCAAUAGCUCCCCAUUGCUCCUGGGAUAUCAUCCAAAUUUGACAUGGUUGGCAGGGCCUUUCAUAAUCUGCCUCCUGUCUGCUUCUGCCUCCUCACGCCUCGCCAUGCCAGGUCACAGUCUGGGCUCCAGCCAAACUGAAUUCCACUCAGUGUCUUUGCUUGGCUUCCGGCUUCACAUCACCAUUUCCUGCACCUAGAAGCCUCUCUCACAUUUCCCGCCUCGCUCCCCUCCCUGUGCGUUUCACAGAAGGGCGUCGUGGCCAUGCUGUGUUCACCGAGGGGCCACUUUCCCAGGGUGUGGGGAGGAGAGGUAGUUAGGGACGAUGUCUGACAAGAGGUUUCAACGGCACUGGGACUUGUUCUGUUUCUUGCUAGAGAGACCGACCCGCUGGAGAAUGGUGGUGGAGGAGGCUUGUGCUUUGACAUGCUUGGCCUCCCAGAUCUCCUUACCAAGGGCCCGUGCCCUCUGUUCCCUUCUGAGUGCGCAGUACCAUCUCAGAGUCCCACCGCUGGGUGAACCCAGGGUCAAGACAGGCAGUGUCUCUGGCUUCUGACACUGGUGACUUCAAUGUAAGGCGACUGUUAGUGUUUGGAAAUACGAGCCAAAGACAAGUUGAAAAAGACCCCAAAUACCCGCAAGGAGGAAAGCUUUGUAAGGACUUGGGCAGAUGGCCCCAGGAGAGAAGAGUCAGGGGCAUUUUGGUGUUUUCUGAUUGAAGAUGUGAGAAGGCUUCCCCAAGAGAAAUCACACUCCCCCAGAAGACAGGAUUCAGAGUCCUCUGGUCUUUGGCUGGUGACCUUAGACAAGCUGUUGCCCUCUCUGAAUCCGAGUCUCCUCCUCUGUGUAUUCUUUAAAAGUGCUUCCGUCUCUUAAAUUGUUAGAAUCUCUUUCCUAGAACUCACAAUUCAUCCCCAUUGUGACUGAAAUGCCAGAGUCAUAAGUGUAACAUUUUCAGUAGAAAAAGAUUAAAUUAAAACUAAUACUUCGCACUUUGAUGCACAAACCAAAAUGAUCAACAGAAUAACACAGCUUGACAGCAAAACCCAUAAUUUAAACAAAGAUGUGUGAAAUCAAGAAAUGCCGAGCUGACCUUACCCAAUUCUGUGUGUGUGCGUUUUUAAAGCACUGGUUUUUAUAUAUUUUAGCUGCUAUUAUUUGAACCAAGCUGGCAUCAUGUGUAGAAUUGGGAGUUAUUGUAGUCAGUGUAUAAACUGAAAGAAAUCAGCCCAGGGGACCCAGCUUUCAUGCUUAUUUAUGGGAAAAUGCUGUUUAA